RNAcentral lists this ribosomal RNA (1340 nucleotides) under Microbacterium oleivorans. RNAcentral's name for it is "bacterial SSU rRNA". It matches the Rfam family "Bacterial small subunit ribosomal RNA", at positions 68 to 1418 of the family's 1533-position model. The record is from RNAcentral. Lineage: Bacteria; Bacillati; Actinomycetota; Actinomycetes; Micrococcales; Microbacteriaceae.
GGUGAAGCAGAGCUUGCCUCUGUGGAUCAGUGGCGAACGGGUGAGUAACACGAGAGCAACCUGCCCCUGACUCUGGGAUAAGCGCUGGAAACGGCGUCUAAUACUGGAUAUGAGCUGCGACCGCAUGGUCAGCAGUUGGAAAGAUUUUUCGGUCUGGGAUGGGCUCACGGCCUAUCAGCUUGUUGGUGAGGUAAUGGCUCACCAAGGCGUCGACGGGUAGCCGGCCUGAGAGGGUGACCGGCCACACUGGGACUGAGACACGGCCCAGACUCCUACGGGAGGCAGCAGUGGGGAAUAUUGCACAAUGGGCGCAAGCCUGAUGCAGCAACGCCGCGUGAGGGACGACGGCCUUCGGGUUGUAAACCUCUUUUAGCAGGGAAGAAGCGAAAGUGACGGUACCUGCAGAAAAAGCGCCGGCUAACUACGUGCCAGCAGCCGCGGUAAUACGUAGGGCGCAAGCGUUAUCCGGAAUUAUUGGGCGUAAAGAGCUCGUAGGCGGUUUGUCGCGUCUGCUGUGAAAUCCCGAGGCUCAACCUCGGGUCUGCAGUGGGUACGGGCAGACUAGAGUGCGGUAGGGGAGAUUGGAAUUCCUGGUGUAGCGGUGGAAUGCGCAGAUAUCAGGAGGAACACCGAUGGCGAAGGCAGAUCUCUGGGCCGUUACUGACGCUGAGGAGCGAAAGGGUGGGGAGCAAACAGGCUUAGAUACCCUGGUAGUCCACCCCGUAAACGUUGGGAACUAGUUGUGGGGUCCAUUCCACGGAUUCCGUGACGCAGCUAACGCAUUAAGUUCCCCGCCUGGGGAGUACGGCCGCAAGGCUAAAACUCAAAGGAAUUGACGGGGACCCGCACAAGCGGCGGAGCAUGCGGAUUAAUUCGAUGCAACGCGAAGAACCUUACCAAGACUUGACAUAUACGAGAACGGGCCAGAAAUGGUCAACUCUUUGGACACUCGUAAACAGGUGGUGCAUGGUUGUCGUCAGCUCGUGUCGUGAGAUGUUGGGUUAAGUCCCGCAACGAGCGCAACCCUCGUUCUAUGUUGCCAGCACGUAAUGGUGGGAACUCAUGGGAUACUGCCGGGGUCAACUCGGAGGAAGGUGGGGAUGACGUCAAAUCAUCAUGCCCCUUAUGUCUUGGGCUUCACGCAUGCUACAAUGGCCGGUACAAAGGGCUGCAAUACCGCGAGGUGGAGCGAAUCCCAAAAAGCCGGUCCCAGUUCGGAUUGAGGUCUGCAACUCGACCUCAUGAAGUCGGAGUCGCUAGUAAUCGCAGAUCGGCAACGCUGCGGUGAAUACGUUCCCGGGUCUUGUCUUUCCCUCCCUCAAGUCAUGAAAGUCGGUAAC